AAUUAGUGGCAGACGGGUGAGUAAUGCAUAGGAAUCUACCUAGUAGUAUAGGAUAGCCACUAGAAGUGGUGGGUAAUACUGUAUAAUCCCUGCGGGGGAAAGAUUUAUCGCUACAUGAUGAGCCUAUGUUAGAUUAGCUAGUUGGUGGGGUAAUGGCCUACCAAGGCAGUGAUCUAUAGCUGGUCUGAGAGGAUGAUCAGCCACACUGGAACUGAGACACGGUCCAGACUCCUACGGGAGGCAGCAGUGGGGAAUAUUGGACAAUGGGCGCAAGCCUGAUCCA
RNAcentral lists this ribosomal RNA (283 nucleotides) under Anaplasma bovis. RNAcentral's name for it is "partial 16S ribosomal RNA". It matches the Rfam family "Bacterial small subunit ribosomal RNA", at positions 90 to 390 of the family's 1533-position model. The record is from RNAcentral. Lineage: Bacteria; Pseudomonadati; Pseudomonadota; Alphaproteobacteria; Rickettsiales; Anaplasmataceae.